RNAcentral lists this ribosomal RNA (429 nucleotides) under bacterium. RNAcentral describes it as "partial 16S ribosomal RNA". It matches the Rfam family "Bacterial small subunit ribosomal RNA", at positions 355 to 776 of the family's 1533-position model. The record is from RNAcentral.
UAGGGAAUCUUCCACAAUGGACGCAAGUCUGAUGGAGCAACGCCGCGUGAGUGAAGAAGGUUUUCGGAUCGUAAAGCUCUGUUGUUGGUGAAGAAGGAUAGAGGUAGUAACUGGCCUUUAUUUGACGGUAAUCAACCAGAAAGUCACGGCUAACUACGUGCCAGCAGCCGCGGUAAUACGUAGGUGGCAAGCGUUGUCCGGAUUUAUUGGGCGUAAAGCGAGCGCAGGCGGAAGAAUAAGUCUGAUGUGAAAACCCUCGGCUUAACCGAGGAACUGCAUCGGAAACUGUUUUUCUUGAGUGCAGAAGAGGAGAGUGGAAUUCCAUGUGUAGCGGUGGAAUGCGUAGAUAUAUGGAAGAACACCAGUGGCGAAGGCGACUCUCUGGUCUGCAACUGACGCUGAGGCUCGAAAGCAUGGGUAGCGAACAGG